AUUGGACGCUGGCGGCAGGCCUAACACAUGCAAGUCGAGCGGAUGAAGGGAGCUUGCUCCUGGAUUCAGCGGCGGACGGGUGAGUAAUGCCUAGGAAUCUGCCUGGUAGUGGGGGAUAACGUCCGGACACGGGCGCUAAUACCGCAUACGUCCUGAGGGAGAAAGUGGGGGAUCUUCGGACCUCACGCUAUCAGAUGAGCCUAGGUCGGAUUAGCUAGUUGGUGGGGUAAAGGCCUACCAAGGCGACGAUCCGUAACUGGUCUGAGAGGAUGAUCAGUCACACUGGAACUGAGACACGGUCCAGACUCCUACGGGAGGCAGCAGUGGGGAAUAUUGGACAAUGGGCGAAAGCCUGAUCCAGCCAUGCCGCGUGUGUGAAGAAGGUCUUCGGAUUGUAAAGCACUUUAAGUUGGGAGGAAGGGCAGUAAGUUAAUACCUUGCUGUUUUGACGUUACCAACAGAAUAAGCACCGGCUAACUUCGUG
Molecule: ribosomal RNA, 484 nt
Filed under: uncultured bacterium
Lineage: Bacteria
Description: partial 16S ribosomal RNA
Rfam family: Bacterial small subunit ribosomal RNA
Source: RNAcentral